Molecule: transfer RNA, 73 nt
Filed under: Candidatus Naiadarchaeales archaeon SRR2090153.bin1042
Lineage: Archaea; Nanobdellati; Candidatus Undinarchaeota; Candidatus Undinarchaeia; Candidatus Naiadarchaeales
Also listed under: 1 other name
Description: tRNA-Gln
Rfam family: tRNA
About the family: Transfer RNA (tRNA) molecules are approximately 80 nucleotides in length. Their secondary structure includes four short double-helical elements and three loops (D, anti-codon, and T loops). Further hydrogen bonds mediate the characteristic L-shaped molecular structure. tRNAs have two regions of fundamental functional importance: the anti-codon, which is responsible for specific mRNA codon recognition, and the 3' end, to which the tRNAs corresponding amino acid is attached (by aminoacyl-tRNA synthetases). tRNAs cope with the degeneracy of the genetic code in two manners: having more than one tRNA (with a specific anti-codon) for a particular amino acid; and 'wobble' base-pairing, i.e. permitting non-standard base-pairing at the 3rd anti-codon position.
Source: RNAcentral
AGCCCCGUCGUCUAGCGGCCAAGGAUGUAGGCCUUUGGAGCCUAUGACGGCAGUUCGAAUCUGCCCGGGGCUA